CAAUUCUGCAAAGUUUUAUGAUUUUAGCAGCUUUUCUAAUAUGGACCUCAGAUUCUUGGUAACGCUCCAUGGCAGAAACAAGUACACAGCCUGAUGAAGCAGACAGAGGCAGUACCUCUGACUGGUGAAUUUGAGCAGAACCAGGUUGUUCUUUCAUUUCAUUUCUUUAUUUAUUUCACACAUGGUUCAACAGUGUUUCUUUUUCUACAUACAGAACCUUCUGCCUCUUUUCAGCAGAAAUUCUGCUCAUUCACCUCAUCUCUUGUGUUGGAGUGCCCUCUUGUGGCGCCUUUUGGGUAGUGCCUUAGUAAACGUGAACACUGCAAAGAAGUGGUAUCAGACUGGUUUGUAGUGGAGGAAUUUGUUGCCAGUUUCUUUCAUGUUUAAUCCGUAUUCAUGUUGUAAUGUAGUAACUUUUGUGGCACAAAUACCACAAUAUGGCAGAAACACUAUGUUUUGGCACAAAUACUUUGAUUUGGUAUACUUUACCUUCUUCACCCCUUUUCAGCAAAAUUUUCCUUUUUUUCACCCCUUUUCAGCACAAAUUCCAUUUUUUGGGGCUGUUUUCAGAAAAAAAAACUCUUUUCAGCAGAAACUCUGCUGAUUCAUCUCUUUUCAGCGCACGUUUCUGCUCCUUUGCCUCUUUUCUGCAGAAAUUCUUCUGAUUCACCUCUUUUCUGCAAAAUUUUAAGCCUUUUCACCUCUUAUCAGCACAAUUCUCAGCAGCUUCUGCUCAUUUCAGCAGAAUUGUCAGUCUGUCCACCUCUUCUCUGUGAGAAUGUGUUUGGGUCAGUGAGAUGAGUAGCUGCUUUGAGUCUGGUAGGGCCAGGUUCGAAUCCUGCUCAGGGCAACAUUUUUUUUUCACCACCAUACAACUUUUUGCAACUUUUCAUCUUUUUCAGCUUUUCAGCAGACAGCUUCAGCGUUAAGGCAUCCACACAGCAUUUUCGCAGGAAAUGCAAAUUUUUCUAGUUCUUUAUUGUGUGGAUGCUGGAGGCAUCCACACUAUUGAGUUCCUGUUUCUCUUUAUUGUGUGGAUGCCCUCAAAGGGCUUCCACACUAUUGAGUUCCUGUUUCUCUUUAUUCUUUAUACUUUAUUCUUCAAGUUGCUCCAUUCUUUGUCCGUUAACUACUUCCACAAUUCUUGUGCGAUUUUCACCAUUCAAAUUUCACAAUAUUCUGCUCUUUCUGCUUAUUCCUGCUAUAUCUUUUUGUACUUUUAGCUAUUAUACUUUUUAAAAUAUUAAGCUUUUUAUGCAAAUUUUUUUCCCAUUGAAAUGAAUGGAAAACUUCCACAAUUCUGCUAAAACUUGCUUGUUUUUGAAACUUAACUACUUCCUCAUACUUUCACCUAGAAACUCCAUUCAAACUUUAAAAUGUUCUCAAAUUAUUGGGCUAUUCCUGUCUGAUUCAGCUCUUUCAGACCUUCUACCCUUUUAAUCUUAUCCCUCUUUAAGUUUUCAGUUGCAAAAUUGUGAUUUUUCAGAAAAUACAUGCGUUGCUAUGGUUGCUAUGCAAUUAACUCAGAGUGAGUGCUGGUCCGUUCUGAAUUUUCUCUUCAUGUCUAAACAACUUCUUGCUACUCGCUCAAUUUCCACUCAACUCCCACAAAUUAUACAUCAAAACGUAGAUAUUUUUGUUACAGAUUGUUACAGAAGUUACAGAUUUUUAUCAAAUCGCCUCAGACCAACACAAAGUCUGAAAACUCUCCAUAGAAAGUGAAUGGAGAGUCUGUUCAAAAUCAGCGCUGGGACUCUCUAAUGAGAGGCAUUUUCGAAUCGUCAUAUCUCCUUAACGAAACAAAGUUGAGACAUGAGGCUUGUGCCAAUAUAUCUUC
Molecule: long non-coding RNA, 1837 nt
Organism: Oreochromis niloticus (Nile tilapia)
Lineage: Eukaryota; Metazoa; Chordata; Actinopteri; Cichliformes; Cichlidae
Source: Ensembl